This 465-nucleotide ribosomal RNA is filed under the name uncultured bacterium. Its description in RNAcentral is "partial 16S ribosomal RNA". It matches the Rfam family "Bacterial small subunit ribosomal RNA", at positions 28 to 506 of the family's 1533-position model. The record is from RNAcentral.
GAUGAACGCUGGCGGCGUGCUUAACACAUGCAAGUCGAACGAUGAAGCCCAGCUUGCUGGGUGGAUUAGUGGCGAACGGGUGAGUAACACGUGAGUAACCUGCCCUUGACUCUGGGAUAAGCCUGGUAAACUGGGUCUAAUACUGGAUAUGACUUCUCAUCGCAUGGUGGGGGGUGGAAAGAUUUAUUGGUCUUGGAUGGACUCGCGGCCUAUCAGCUUGUUGGUGAGGUAAUGGCUCACAAAGGCGACGACGGGUAGCCGGCCUGAGAGGGUGACCGGCCACACUGGGACUGGGACACGGCCCAGACUCCUACGGGAGGCAGCAGUGGGGAAUAUUGCACAAUGGGCGGAAGCCUGAUGCAGCGACGCCGCGUGAGGGAUGACGGCCUUCGGGUUGUAAACCUCUUUCAGUAGGGAAGAAGCGAGAGUGACGGUACCUGCAGAAGAAGCGCCGGCUAACUACGU